ACACAAAGAACUGCGUAAGAUCCGUGUUUGAAAAUUGCAGACAAAAGAAUUACUACAAGUGUAAGUUAAUGUCAUUUAUGCUUGAUGGUGACAACGACACUGUAAUCCACCUCGAUAGUGCUUUCAAGAAUAUCACUGUCACAAAACUCAUAAACGCGAGUCGUCACGCUUGCGUACCUCGGGACGUUGAGCGGGUAAUGUGCGAGGGUCGAAUACCUUGUGCAGACAUAAAGCGGUGCACACACCUGACAGAGUCAUUAGACGGCCUCAGGUUGACUGCAGCUGUGCUCAGUGAAGAUGUCCGAGUUGACAGGACGAGAUUUAGGAGAUGGAGUGUCAUUUGCUGCCAGCCCAGCUGAGACAGCAGUCCAAGAAAACUCAAAGCAAGAACGAAGACGUUGUGAGAUCAUCAAAGAACUUAUUGAAACAGAGAAGACAUAUCUGAAUCAUCUGGAUAUUAUUCACAAAUUUUUCUACUCCCCCCUGAAGGAAAAGGAGGACAUCAUUCCGAAAGAUGCCCACUUAGUCUUGUUUAGAAAUAUUGAGCAAAUCAGAGAAGUCAACCGCACCUUGCUGGAAGUGAUGGAGCAAAGCACAGUGGGUCAGGCUUUCCGUCACCUGGGCCCAUUCCUCAAAUUGUAUGCAACAUACGCCAACAACCAUAUGCAAGCUCUUGAUGUGCUACAGGAAUGGAGACAGAAAAAGCCAGAGUUUGCAGACUUCAUUGCAACACAAGAAUCACGACCUGAAUUAAUGAUGCUGUCGAUAGAUGCACUGCUAAUCAUGCCUGUGCAACGAAUUCCCAGAUACAGACUUCUUCUCGAGGACCUUCUGGAACAUACUCACAAAAAAGACCCUGACUAUCUACAACUGAAAGAGGCCACACAACAGAUUGGAAAAAUUACCAUGCACAUCAACGAAGACAUUCGAAAGCAUGAGAACUUUCAAAAAAUGUUGGCCAUACAGAAAUGUUUUGACAGCUCUGCUCCUCAGAUACUGAAGCCUGGACGCUUGUUUCUGAAAGAAGGGCCACUGAAAAAGGCUUCCCGCAAAGGAGGAAAUUACCACGAAAGAAUGUUUUACCUUUUCAAUGACAUGUUGUUAUAUGGAAAGCCAAGACUGCUGGAUAGUGGUGGCAAAAGCUACAUCUGUUGUUGUGUCCUUCCAAUUAAACAUUGUUGCCUUGAGAAUUGUGGAUGUGUGUUCAAGAAAAGCCAAAAGUGACUCCCUGACAUUAAGAAAACCCAGCAGUCGCAGGAUACCUCUACGGGGACGUUUAUUACGCACACAUCAAAAGAGUUGGGAUCUGGAGAUGACAUCUGAAAACAAUUGGAUGCCGGGUGAGCAAGACGAGAGCGACAACUACUGUUCACCAGACUGCUACUGCUUGCAUUUUAUUCAAGCUCGUCUCCAAAACAUUUACAGAAGUUUGAGGAAUCGGUAAUAUAAAACUC
Molecule: unclassified non-coding RNA, 1454 nt
Filed under: Pomacea canaliculata
Lineage: Eukaryota; Metazoa; Mollusca; Gastropoda; Architaenioglossa; Ampullariidae
Description: rho guanine nucleotide exchange factor 39-like, transcript variant X2
Source: RNAcentral